Molecule: ribosomal RNA, 200 nt
Filed under: uncultured bacterium
Lineage: Bacteria
Description: partial 16S ribosomal RNA
Rfam family: Bacterial small subunit ribosomal RNA
Source: RNAcentral
AGAGUUUGAUCAUGGCUCAGGACGAACGCUGGCGGCGUGCUUAACACAUGCAAGUCGAGCGGAAAGGCCCUUCGGGGUACUCGAGCGGCGAACGGGUGAGUAACACGUGAGCAACCUGCCCCUGGCUCUGGGAUAGCUCCGGGAAACCGGGAUUAAUACCGGACAUGACUGCGUGCUGCAUGGCGCGUGGUGGAAAGUUU